RNAcentral lists this ribosomal RNA (253 nucleotides) under uncultured bacterium. Its description in RNAcentral is "partial 16S ribosomal RNA". It matches the Rfam family "Bacterial small subunit ribosomal RNA", at positions 524 to 776 of the family's 1533-position model. The record is from RNAcentral.
AACGUAGGGCGCGAGCGUUGUCCGGAUUUAUUGGGCGUAAAGAGCUCGUAGGCGGCUUGUCGCGUCGACUGUGAAAACCCGCGGCUUAACUGCGGGACUGCAGUCGAUACGGGCAGGCUAGAGUUCGGUAGGGGAGACUGGAAUUCCUGGUGUAGCGGUGAAAUGCGCAGAUAUCAGGAGGAACACCGGUGGCGAAGGCGGGUCUCUGGGCCGACACUGACGCUGAGGAGCGAAAGCGUGGGGAGCGAACAGG